Molecule: transfer RNA, 60 nt
Filed under: Dipodomys ordii (Ord's kangaroo rat)
Lineage: Eukaryota; Metazoa; Chordata; Mammalia; Rodentia; Heteromyidae
Rfam family: tRNA
About the family: Transfer RNA (tRNA) molecules are approximately 80 nucleotides in length. Their secondary structure includes four short double-helical elements and three loops (D, anti-codon, and T loops). Further hydrogen bonds mediate the characteristic L-shaped molecular structure. tRNAs have two regions of fundamental functional importance: the anti-codon, which is responsible for specific mRNA codon recognition, and the 3' end, to which the tRNAs corresponding amino acid is attached (by aminoacyl-tRNA synthetases). tRNAs cope with the degeneracy of the genetic code in two manners: having more than one tRNA (with a specific anti-codon) for a particular amino acid; and 'wobble' base-pairing, i.e. permitting non-standard base-pairing at the 3rd anti-codon position.
Source: Rfam by way of RNAcentral
GUGGCUCAGUGGUAGAGUGCUUGCUUCAUAUGCAUGAGGUCCUGGGUUCAAUUCCUCAGC